RNAcentral lists this non-coding RNA (28 nucleotides) under Homo sapiens (human). Lineage: Eukaryota; Metazoa; Chordata; Mammalia; Primates; Hominidae. The record is from RNAcentral.
UGAGAGCUGAGGAGACAAUGGUACGACU